GGCCACUUAGCUCAGCUGGUUAGAGCGCAUGCUUAACACGUGAUUCUCGCGCGCUUCAGACGCGUGGAUAUGAGUUACGCAUGAGGUCGGCGGUUCGAUCCCGCCAGAGGUCA
This is a transfer RNA of 113 nucleotides. It matches the Rfam family "tRNA". From Rfam's summary of the family: Transfer RNA (tRNA) molecules are approximately 80 nucleotides in length. Their secondary structure includes four short double-helical elements and three loops (D, anti-codon, and T loops). The record is from Rfam.